This 47-nucleotide ribosomal RNA is filed under the name Aspergillus niger. RNAcentral describes it as "partial 18S ribosomal RNA". The record is from RNAcentral. Lineage: Eukaryota; Fungi; Ascomycota; Eurotiomycetes; Eurotiales; Aspergillaceae.
CUUCCGUAGGGNGAACCUGCGGAAGGAUCAUUACCGAGUGCGGGUCC